Molecule: ribosomal RNA, 253 nt
Filed under: uncultured bacterium
Lineage: Bacteria
Description: partial 16S ribosomal RNA
Rfam family: Bacterial small subunit ribosomal RNA
Source: RNAcentral
UACGGGGGGAGCAAGCGUUGUUCGGAUUUACUGGGCGUAAAGGGCGCGUAGGCGGCGUGACAAGUCACUUGUGAAAUCUCCGGGCUUAACUCGGAACGGUCAAGUGAUACUGUCGGACUAGAGUACAGAAGGGGCAACUGGAAUUCUCGGUGUAGCGGUGAAAUGCGUAGAUAUCGGGAGGAACACCUGUGGCGAAAGCGGCGCACUGGACCAUAACUGACGCUGAGGCGCGAAAGCUAGGGGAGCAAACAGG